Molecule: ribosomal RNA, 358 nt
Filed under: uncultured bacterium
Lineage: Bacteria
Description: partial 16S ribosomal RNA
Rfam family: Bacterial small subunit ribosomal RNA
Source: RNAcentral
CCUACGGGUGGCAGCAGUGAGGAAUAUUGGUCAAUGGUCGGGAGCCUGAACCAGCCAAGCCGCGUGAAGGAUGACGGUCCAACGUGUCGUAAACCUCUUUUAUAAGGGAACAAAGUCAGGCACGUGUCCCCGGCUGCAUGUACCUUACGAAAAAGCAUCGGCUAACUCCGUGCCAGCAGCCGCGGUAAUACGGAGGAUCCGAGCGUUAUCCGGAUUUAUUGGGUUUAAAGGGUGCGCAGACGGGUUGUUAAGUCAGCGGUGAAAGCCCGGGGCUCAACCCCGGCACGCCGUUGAAAAUGGGAGGCUCGAGUUGGAGAGAGGUAUGCGGAAUGCGCGGUGGAGCGGUGAAAUGCAUAGA